AUCUCGAGGUUCUUUGAUAGGCAUGAAGAAAUCAUCUUGGUAGCAACCACCAAACCAAUAGAACCAGGGUUAGCUCAGCUGCUGGUCCACAAGCAAGGUAAGUAGGUCCAUUACCGGCCGGCGGAGGACCGAAAAGACCUAACAGAGUAAUCCCUUAUCUCGGAUCGGAGAUGCUGACGGGGCGGGAAUCGAAGUGGGGGAGCUCUCUACCGCCUGUGUCUAUCUCCUGUCAAGUAUGCUCCCCCAGACAUAGACUACGUAGAGGGUAGUAUUGACUCUUAGAAAGAUAAAAUAUCACUGCAAGAACAUAAGAUGUUGUUACGAAUAUAACUCCCGAGGGAUCGACCACUAUUCUAAAUAUAGUAAAGUAAGGCGGAGAACUGUUGUUCAUUGGAGUGCGGAGGUUGUUCCCAUCAUUGAAGUCAGAGUGUGGGACUGAGCCUUCCGAAUGAUAAAGACAAAAAAGUGUUUCGUUUUGUUGG
Benincasa hispida (wax gourd) is the source of this 482-nucleotide non-coding RNA. NCBI's taxonomy places the organism in Eukaryota, Viridiplantae, Streptophyta, Magnoliopsida, Cucurbitales, Cucurbitaceae. The record is from RefSeq and is a predicted model, not a curated record.